RNAcentral lists this transfer RNA (76 nucleotides) under Leptolyngbyaceae cyanobacterium RM1_405_57. RNAcentral's name for it is "tRNA-Trp". It matches the Rfam family "tRNA". Rfam says of the family: Transfer RNA (tRNA) molecules are approximately 80 nucleotides in length. Their secondary structure includes four short double-helical elements and three loops (D, anti-codon, and T loops). The record is from RNAcentral. Lineage: Bacteria; Bacillati; Cyanobacteriota; Cyanophyceae; Leptolyngbyales; Leptolyngbyaceae.
GGGGCUGUGGCUCAGAUGGAUAGAGCAAGCGCCUCCAUAAGCGCUAGGUCGCGCGUUCGAAUCGCUGCCAGUCCCG